This is a long non-coding RNA of Alosa sapidissima (American shad), 96 nucleotides long. RefSeq lists it as uncharacterized. Lineage: Eukaryota; Metazoa; Chordata; Actinopteri; Clupeiformes; Clupeidae. The record is from RefSeq and is a predicted model, not a curated record. The transcript has 4 exons.
AAAAUAGGAGUAAUAGGUUUCGUCUGAGAAACGUCUGACGUUGACUAGGUUCUGGGGGUUACCUGCAGGGGGCAACACAUCAGUAACAGAACAAAU